AUUUGGUCGUAGACCCGAAACCAGGUGAUCUACCCUUGGUCAGGUUGAAGUUCAGGUAACACUGAAUGGAGGACCGAACCGACUUACGUUGAAAAGUGAGCGGAUGAACUGAGGGUAGCGGAGAAAUUCCAAUCGAACCUGGAGAUAGCUGGUUCUCUCCGAAAUAGCUUUAGGGCUAGCCUCAAGUGAUGAUUAUUGGAGGUAGAGCACUGUUUGGACGAGGGGCCCCUCUCGGGUUACCGAAUUCAGACAAACUCCGAAUGCCAAUUAAUUUAACUUGGGAGUCAGAACAUGGGUGAUAAGGUCCGUGUUCGAAAGGGAAACAGCCCAGACCACCAGCUAAGGUCCCAAAAUAUAUGUUAAGUGGAAAAGGAUGUGGCGUUGCCCAGACAACUAGGAUGUUGGCUUAGAAGCAGCCAUCAUUUAAAGAGUGCGUAAUAGCUCACUAGUCGAGUGACACUGCGCCGAAAAUGUACCGGGGCUAAACAUAUUACCGAAGCUGUGGAUUGUCCUUUGGACAAUGGUAGGAGAGCGUUCUAAGGGCGUUGAAGCAUGAUCGUAAGGACAUGUGGAGCGCUUAGAAGUGAGAAUGCCGGUGUGAGUAGCGAAAGACGGGUGAGAAUCCCGUCCACCGAUUGACUAAGGUUUCCAGAGGAAGGCUCGUCCGCUCUGGGUUAGUCGGGUCCUAAGCUGAGGCCGACAGGCGUAGGCGAUGGAUAACAGGUUGAUAUUCCUGUACCACCUAUAAUCGUUUUAAUCGAUGGGGGGACGCAGUAGGAUAGGCGAAGCGUGCGAUUGGAUUACACGUCUAAGCAGUAAGGCUGAGUAUUAGGCAAAUCCGGUACUCGUUAAGGCUGAGCUGUGAUGGGGAGAAGACAUUGAGUCUUCGAGUCGUUGAUUUCACACUGCCGAGAAAAGCCUCUAGAUAGAAAAUAGGUGCCCGUACCGCAAACCGACACAGGUAGUCAAGAUGAGAAUUCUAAGGUGAGCGAGCGAACUCUCGUUAAGGAACUCGGCAAAAUGACCCCGUAACUUCGGGAGAAGGGGUGCUCUUUAGGGUUAACGCCCAGAAGAGCCGCAGUGAAUAGGCCCAAGCGACUGUUUAUCAAAAACACAGGUCUCUGCUAAACCGUAAGGUGAUGUAUAGGGGCUGACGCCUGCCCGGUGCUGGAAGGUUAAGAGGAGUGGUUAGCUUCUGCGAAGCUACGAAUCGAAGCCCCAGUAAACGGCGGCCGUAACUAUAACGGUCCUAAGGUAGCGAAAUUCCUUGUCGGGUAAGUUCCGACCCGCACGAAAGGCGUAACGAUUUGGGCACUGUCUCAACGAGAGACUCGGUGAAAUCAUAGUACCUGUGAAGAUGCAGGUUACCCGCGACAGGACGGAAAGACCCCGUGGAGCUUUACUGUAGCCUGAUAUUGAAAUUCGGCACAGCUUGUACAGGAUAGGUAGGAGCCUUUGAAACGUGAGCGCUAGCUUACGUGGAGGCGCUGGUGGGAUACUACCCUAGCUGUGUUGGCUUUCUAACCCGCACCACUUAUCGUGGUGGGAGACAGUGUCAGGCGGGCAGUUUGACUGGGGCGGUCGCCUCCUAAAAGGUAACGGAGGCGCUCAAAGGUUCCCUCAGAAUGGUUGGAAAUCAUUCAUAGAGUGUAAAGGCAUAAGGGAGCUUGACUGCGAGACCUACAAGUCGAGCAGGGUCGAAAGACGGACUUAGUGAUCCGGUGGUUCCGCAUGGAAGGGCCAUCGCUCAACGGAUAAAAGCUACCCCGGGGAUAACAGGCUUAUCUCCCCCAAGAGUUCACAUCGACGGGGAGGUUUGGCACCUCGAUGUCGGCUCAUCGCAUCCUGGGGCUGUAGUCGGUCCCAAGGGUUGGGCUGUUCGCCCAUUAAAGCGGUACGCGAGCUGGGUUCAGAACGUCGUGAGACAGUUCGGUCCCUAUCCGUCGUGGGCGUAGGAAAUUUGAGAGGAGCUGUCCUUAGUACGAGAGGACCGGGAUGGACAUACCUCUGGUGUACCAGUUGUCGUGCCAACGGCAUAGCUGGGUAGCUAUGUAUGGACGGGAUAAGUGCUGAAAGCAUCUAAGCAUGAAGCCCCCCUCAAGAUGAGAUUUCCCAACUUCGGUUAUAAGAUCCCUCAAAGAUGAUGAGGUUAAUAGGUUCGAGGUGGAAGCAUGGUGACAUGUGGAGCUGACGAAUACUAAUCGAUCGAAGACUUAAUCAA
This 2221-nucleotide ribosomal RNA is filed under the name Staphylococcus aureus. RNAcentral describes it as "partial 23S ribosomal RNA". It matches the Rfam family "Bacterial large subunit ribosomal RNA", at positions 701 to 2925 of the family's 2925-position model. The record is from RNAcentral. Lineage: Bacteria; Bacillati; Bacillota; Bacilli; Caryophanales; Staphylococcaceae.